AACCGGGAUGAGCUCAAAUUUAAAAUCUGGCGUCUUUCAGGCGUCCGAGUUGUAAUCUAUAGAGGCGUUUUCCGCGCCGGACCGCGUCCAAGUCUCUUGGAAUAGAGUAUCAAAGAGGGUGACAAUCCCGUACUUGACGCGACAACCGGUGCUCUGUGAUACGUUCUCAAUGAGUCGAGUUGUUUGGGAAUGCAGCUCUAAAUGGGUGGUAAAUUCCAUCUAAGGCUAAAUAUUGGCGAGAGACCGAUAGCGAACAAGUACCGUGAGGGAAAGAUGAAAAGCACUUUGGAAAGAGAGUUAAACAGCACGUGAAAUUGUUAAAAGGGAAACGAUUGAAGUCAGUCGUGUGAAAGGUAUUCAGCCGUCUCUGGCGGUGUAUUUGCCUUUCACGGGUCAACAUCAGUUUGAUCCGGUAGAAAAAGGCGGGAGGAAGGUGGCACCCUCGGGUGUGUUAUAGCCUCCUGUCAUAUGUGCCGGACCAGACUGAGGAACGCAGCUUGCCGCAAGGCCGGGGUUCGCCCACGUACAAGCUUAGGAUGUUGACAUAAUGGCUUUAAACGACCCGUC
RNAcentral lists this ribosomal RNA (567 nucleotides) under Vishniacozyma victoriae. RNAcentral's name for it is "partial large subunit ribosomal RNA". It matches the Rfam family "Eukaryotic large subunit ribosomal RNA", at positions 96 to 653 of the family's 3401-position model. Lineage: Eukaryota; Fungi; Basidiomycota; Tremellomycetes; Tremellales; Bulleribasidiaceae. The record is from RNAcentral.